RNAcentral lists this transfer RNA (127 nucleotides) under Candidatus Woesearchaeota archaeon. Its description in RNAcentral is "tRNA-Leu". It matches the Rfam family "tRNA". Rfam says of the family: Transfer RNA (tRNA) molecules are approximately 80 nucleotides in length. Their secondary structure includes four short double-helical elements and three loops (D, anti-codon, and T loops). Further hydrogen bonds mediate the characteristic L-shaped molecular structure. tRNAs have two regions of fundamental functional importance: the anti-codon, which is responsible for specific mRNA codon recognition, and the 3' end, to which the tRNAs corresponding amino acid is attached (by aminoacyl-tRNA synthetases). tRNAs cope with the degeneracy of the genetic code in two manners: having more than one tRNA (with a specific anti-codon) for a particular amino acid; and 'wobble' base-pairing, i.e. permitting non-standard base-pairing at the 3rd anti-codon position. The record is from RNAcentral. Lineage: Archaea; Nanobdellati; Candidatus Woesearchaeota.
GCCGGCGUCGCAUAAUUUUGGAAAUCGCUCUUAAUCAUUAAGAGUGAUUUUCAAAACCAGGUAUUGCGUCCAACUCAAAAUUGGAUGACUUGCCAAAGUCUUGCGGGUUCGAAUCCCGUCGCCGGCG